AUACGGAGGAUCCGAGCGUUAUCCGGAUUUAUUGGGUUUAAAGGGUGCGCAGGCGGCCAUUUAAGUCAGCGGUUAAAUCGUGGGGCUCAACCCCAUUCUGCCGUUGAUACUGGGUGGCUUGAUUGCGGUCGAGGUUGGCGGAAUUCGUUGUGUAGCGGUGAAAUGCAUAGAUAUGACGAAGAACACCGAUUGCGUAGGCAGCUGACCAGACCGCAAAUGACGCUCAUGCACGAAAGUGCGGGGAUCGAACAGGAUUAGAUACCCUGGUAGUCCGCACAGUAAACGAUGAAUACUUGUUUUCGGCGAUAUAAUGUCGGAGGUAAAGCGAAAGCGAUAAGUAUUCCACCUGGGGAGUCCGCCGGCAACGGUGAAACUCAAAUGAAUUGGCGGGG
This 392-nucleotide ribosomal RNA is filed under the name uncultured bacterium. Its description in RNAcentral is "partial 16S ribosomal RNA". It matches the Rfam family "Bacterial small subunit ribosomal RNA", at positions 523 to 918 of the family's 1533-position model. The record is from RNAcentral.